This 433-nucleotide ribosomal RNA is filed under the name uncultured bacterium. Its description in RNAcentral is "partial 16S ribosomal RNA". It matches the Rfam family "Bacterial small subunit ribosomal RNA", at positions 28 to 507 of the family's 1533-position model. The record is from RNAcentral.
GACGAACGCUGGCGGCAUGCCUAACACAUGCAAGUCGAACGAUACCUCCGGGCCUAGUGGCGCACGGGUGCGUAACGCGUGGGAAUCUGCCCUUGGGUUCGGAAUAACUCGCCGAAAGGCGUGCUAAUACCGGAUGAUGUCGUAAGUCCAAAGAUUUAUCGCCCAUGGAUGGGCCCGCGUAGGAUUAGCUAGUUGGUAGGGUAAAGGCCCACCAAGGCGACGAUCCUUAGCUGGUCUGAGAGGAUGAUCAGCCACACUGGGACUGAGACACGGCCCAGACUCCUACGGGAGGCAGCAGUGGGGAAUAUUGGACAAUGGGCGAAAGCCUGAUCCAGCAAUGCCGCGUGAGUGAUGAAGGCCUUAGGGUUGUAAAGCUCUUUUACCCGGGAUGAUAAUGACAGUACCGGGAGAAUAAGCUCCGGCUAACUCCGUG